GACGAACGCUGGCGGCGUGCCUAAUACAUGCAAGUUGAGCGCUGAAGGUUGGUACUUGUACCAACUGGAUGAGCAGCGAACGGGUGAGUAACGCGUGGGGAAUCUGCCUUUGAGCGGGGGACAACAUUUGGAAACGAAUGCUAAUACCGCAUAAAAACUUUAAACACAAGUUUUAAGUUUGAAAGAUGCAAUUACAUCACUCAAAGAUGAUCCCGCGUUGUAUUAGCUAGUUGGUGAGGUAAAGGCUCACCAAGGCGAUGAUACUUAGCCGACCUGAGAGGGUGAUCGGCCACAUUGGGACUGAGACACGGCCCAAACUCCUACGGGAGGCAGCAGUAGGGAAUCUUCGGCAAUGGACGAAAGUCUGACCAAGCAACGCCGCGUGAGUGAAGAAGGUUUUCGGAUCGUAAAACUCUGUUGGUAGAGAAGAACGUUGGUGAGAGUGGAAAGCUCAUCAAGUGACGGUAACUACCCAGAAAGGGACGGCUAACUACGUG
This 497-nucleotide ribosomal RNA is filed under the name uncultured bacterium. Its description in RNAcentral is "partial 16S ribosomal RNA". It matches the Rfam family "Bacterial small subunit ribosomal RNA", at positions 28 to 507 of the family's 1533-position model. The record is from RNAcentral.